UUCAGUCAAACAAAAUUCCCUAACAGCAUCCAAAAACUUCCUGAAAUUAUCUAAAGUAGAAUCUGUAUACUGGCAUCACCACAUAAAUUCACAAAAAUAUCCUCCGUAGUGCCGGUAUCUUCUGACAUUUGACCAUACACUUUUCCUCCGUACAAACAGGAGUCCACCAGCGGCUAAGCGGUAAAGUCGCUGAGCGCUGGUAGUUCGGUCCGAGGUUCGAAUCCUGUGAACGGGCUGGCUGCAUGGGCGUUUUCGUGGUUUUCCCCAUGUGUAACGUGUAUACAAGCCAGUUUCCCUUAGAAAGUCCUCCACGAAGGCAUCCUUCCCCUUAGGCCGAUAGCCCCAGUGUGCUUUGCCGUAAUCUCAAACCAAGCCGUGUAAACAGGAUACUUAUAAUGGCUACUAAGUAAACCUCCAUUUACACACCAGUCAAUUACUGCUUUUUUCCCCUUUCGUUCCUAAUUGUACAGAAACUUAAUUAAUCUUACUACAUUCAGCCAUUUUACCGUGUAAACCACAAAAUAACCAACGUACUUCCUAACCAACAUCCAGCACACAAACAAGCCGUUACAAAUCUUUUCCUGUCAUUCAAAUUCACCGAAAUCACGUAACCAAUUACGUCAUAAUAGGGUUUCCAUAACUUUCACUUACUCAGAUUACGAUAAAUGAAACAACAACUUGACGAUAAAUGAAACAACUUAGUGAUAAUCCAAGGGACACUCUGACACCCUUAAAUAUACUAAACCAAAAAAAAGCAAUGGAGAAUUGCACAAACUCGGCACCGGCCAAACCUCUGCAAUAACAGCUAUCUACCAAAUGAAUAUUCUUGUAUUUGCCUUUAGAAAUUAUGCUAAAAAAUUUUGUAUUUCUGCAGAAAUUUUACCAUGGUUUCUUCCAUUGCUGGCAAAUUCAGAAGCAUCAGAACUUGAAAUACAACAAAAAGAACUUUGUAUUCUUUUUUACAAGCAUUGCUAGACUGAUGCUGAUGGAUUGUUAGACUGAUGGAUUGCAGCAUUGCUAGACUGAUGGAUUGUUAUGAGCAUGAUUGAUAGAGUUUGGGAGGAGGGGAGGAUUUGGCAACUUCUACUAAAUGGUUGUGGUAAUGUGUAAUUACCCAUAAAAAAGAUUUCUAAGCCCAUUAUGGCAAAAAGAAGGACUUCCUAUGAAUUGAAAAUGCAAUGGUGAGAUUUAUUAGAAAUAUUUGAAAGUGACGACGAUUGCAUUUCGGAAACUGAAAUUGAAAAUAGGAAUAUUUCCUACACUGUUUGGUUUCGAAAAAGAUAAAACAUUAAUUUCUUAUGUUCCUAAAAAAGGAAAAACAGUUCUUAUGCUUUUAACAUUACAUAACGAUGAUGCUAUAAAUGACACUACUGGAGAAAGAAAAUGCCACAAAUUAUUUGUUUUAAUAAUACGACUAAGGGAGCAGUGGAUACUGUGGAUGAAAGGGCAACAAGUUAUUCAAUUGCCAGAAUAACAAGGAAGUGGCCAAUGAUAAUUUUCUUUUCUGCACUGAAUGUUGCUGCAAUAAAUGCUCGAAUUAAAUUACUUUCAACUCCUAAUCCACCAACCACAUACAGAAGCAGAUGUCUGAUUUAGAGGCACUUAGCAUUACAAUUAAUAAAAAUAUGUAUGGAACAAUGAUCAGAGAUUAAUACUUUACCGAGAAAUGUAUGUACUGCAUUGCAAAAGAAGAGCAGAAGUUUCAAGGAAUAAUUCAAACGAAUGUGUGAAAUUCGAAGCAACUAAGUGUAAAAGAUGUGAGGAAUGCCCUUGAGCCAAAGAAUGUGAAUGCGAUAUUUAAAAUAUGAAAAACUUUCUGUGUUAAGAACACAUGAAUAUAUUUUGUUCAAAGAGUAAACAAAUAAAAUAAGCAAUAUGAUUAGAA
RNAcentral lists this long non-coding RNA (1885 nucleotides) under Stegodyphus dumicola. RNAcentral describes it as "uncharacterized LOC118204345". Lineage: Eukaryota; Metazoa; Arthropoda; Arachnida; Araneae; Eresidae. The record is from RNAcentral.